Molecule: ribosomal RNA, 348 nt
Filed under: uncultured bacterium
Lineage: Bacteria
Description: partial 16S ribosomal RNA
Rfam family: Bacterial small subunit ribosomal RNA
Source: RNAcentral
CCUACGGGCGGCAGCAGUGGGGAAUAUUGCACAAUGGGGGAAACCCUGAUGCAGCAACGCCGCGUGGGUGAAGGAGCGUUUCGGCGCGUAAAGCCCUGUCAGCGGGGAAGAAGAAAGACGGUACCCGACCAAGAAGCCCCGGCUAACUACGUGCCAGCAGCCGCGGUAAUACGUAGGGGGCGAGCGUUAUCCGGAAUUACUGGGUGUAAAGGGAGCGUAGACGGCGAGGUAAGCCUGAAGUGGAAGCCCGCGGCCCAACCGCGGAACUGCUUUGGGGACUGUUUGGCUGGAGUAUGGGGGGAGUACGCGGAAGUCCUGGUGUGUCGGGGCGAUGUGGAGAUACCAGGA